AUUGAACGCUGGCGGCAGGCCUAACACAUGCAAGUCGAGCGGAUGAAGGGAGCUUGCUCCUGGAUUCAGCGGCGGACGGGUGAGUAAUGCCUAGGAAUCUGCCUGGUAGUGGGGGAUAACGUCCGGAAACGGGCGCUAAUACCGCAUACGUCCUGAGGGAGAAAGUGGGGGAUCUUCGGACCUCACGCUAUCAGAUGAGCCUAGGUCGGAUUAGCUAGUUGGUGGGGUAAAGGCCUACCAAGGCGACGAUCCGUAACUGGUCUGAGAGGAUGAUCAGUCACACUGGAACUGGGACACGGUCCAGACUCCUACGGGAGGCAGCAGUGGGGAAUAUUGGACAAUGGGCGAAAGCCUGAUCCAGCCAUGCCGAGUGUGUGAAGAAGGUCUUCGGAUUGGAAAGCACUUUAAGUUGGGAGGAAGGGCAGUAAGUUAAUACCUUGCUGUUUUGACGGUACCAACAGAAUAAGCACCGGCUAACUUCGUG
This 484-nucleotide ribosomal RNA is filed under the name uncultured bacterium. RNAcentral describes it as "partial 16S ribosomal RNA". It matches the Rfam family "Bacterial small subunit ribosomal RNA", at positions 30 to 507 of the family's 1533-position model. The record is from RNAcentral.